This 465-nucleotide ribosomal RNA is filed under the name uncultured bacterium. RNAcentral describes it as "partial 16S ribosomal RNA". It matches the Rfam family "Bacterial small subunit ribosomal RNA", at positions 338 to 795 of the family's 1533-position model. The record is from RNAcentral.
CCUACGGGGGGCAGCAGUGGGGAAUAUUGCGCAAUGGGCGAAAGCCUGACGCAGCGACGCCGCGUGAGGGAUGAAGGUCUUCGGAUCGUAAACCCCUGUCAGCAGGGAAGUACGGUCACUGUGCUAAUCAGCAGUGCAUUUACGGUACCUGCAAAGGACGCACCGGCUAACUCCGUGCCAGCAGCCGCGGUAAUACGGAGGGUCGGAGCGUUAAUCGGAUUUACUGGGCGUAAAGGGCUCGUAGGCGGUAUGUCAAGUCAAGGGUGAAAUCCCGGCGCUCAACGUGGGAACUGACGUUGAAAAUGGGGAACUGGAGUGUGUGAGAGGAUAGUGGAAUUCGAGGUGGAGGAGUGAAAUCCGUAGAUAUCUGGAGGAACAUCAGUGGCGAAGGCGACUAUCUGGCACAUAACUGACGCUGAGGAGCGAAAGCGUGGGUAGCAAACAGGAUUAGAUACCCCUGUAGUC